AAUGCUAAAAGAAUGGAAUUUUAAGAAAAAACUUUUUUAAAAAUAAAAAUUAAAUUUUUUUUAAUUUGUGCAAAACCAAUUAUUUAUAUUAAAGACAAGAAGACCCUAUGAAUUUAUGAUUAAAUAAACUAAAAAUUUUUAGUUUAUUUAAUCUUGAUUGGGGCAAUCAAAAAAUAUUAAUAACUUUUUUAAAUUUAAAUGAUCUAUUAUUAAUAAUCUAAUGGAAUAAAUACUCUAGGGAUAACAGCGUA
This 251-nucleotide ribosomal RNA is filed under the name Hyalomma dromedarii. Its description in RNAcentral is "partial large subunit ribosomal RNA". Lineage: Eukaryota; Metazoa; Arthropoda; Arachnida; Ixodida; Ixodidae. The record is from RNAcentral.